This 426-nucleotide ribosomal RNA is filed under the name uncultured bacterium. Its description in RNAcentral is "bacterial SSU rRNA". It matches the Rfam family "Bacterial small subunit ribosomal RNA", at positions 354 to 796 of the family's 1533-position model. The record is from RNAcentral.
GUAGGGAAUAUUGCACAAUGGGCGAAAGCCUGAUGCAGCAACGCCGCGUGUGCGAAGAAGGCCUUCGGGUCGUAAAGCACUUUUCUGAGAGAUGAGAAAGGACAGUAUCUCAGGAAUAAGUCUCGGCUAACUACGUGCCAGCAGCCGCGGUAAAACGUAGGAGGCGAGCGUUAUCCGGAUUCACUGGGCGUAAAGCGCGUGCAGGCGGUUCGGUAAGUUGGGCGUGAAAUCUCCUGGCUCAACUAGGAGAGGUCGUCCAAUACUACCGGACUAGAGAGCGGUAGAGGAAGAUGGAAUUCCCGGUGUAGUGGUGAAAUGCGUAGAUAUCGGGAGGAACACCAGUGGCGAAGGCGAUCUUCUGGACCGUUUCUGACGCUCAGACGCGACAGCUAGGGUAGCAAACGGGAUUAGAAACCCUAGUAGUCC